CACUAUCGUUAACUGAAUACAUAGGUUAACGAGGCGAACCGGGGGAACUGAAACAUCUAAGUACCCCGAGGAAAAGAAAUCAACCGAGAUUCCCCCAGUAGCGGCGAGCGAACGGGGAGCAGCCCAGAGUCUGAAUCAGCUUGUGUGUUAGUGGAACGGUCUGGAAAGUCCGACGGUACAGGGUGAUAGUCCCGUACACCAAAAUGCACAGGCUGUGAACUCGAAGAGUAGGGCGGGACACGUGGUAUCCUGUCUGAAUAUGGGGGGACCAUCCUCCAAGGCUAAAUACUCCUGACUGACCGAUAGUGAACCAGUACCGUGAGGGAAAGGCGAAAAGAACCCCGGCGAGGGGAGUGAAAAAGAACCUGAAACCGUGUACGUACAAGCAGUGGGAGCACCUUCGGGUGUGACUGCGUACCUUUUGUAUAAUGGGUCAGCGACUUAUAUUCUGUAGCAAGGUUAACCGUAUAGGGGAGCCGCAGGGAAACCGAGUCUUAACUGGGCGUUAAGUUGCAGGGUAUAGACCCGAAACCCGGUGAUCUAGCCAUGGGCAGGUUGAAGGUUGGGUAACACUAACUGGAGGACCGAACCGACUAAUGUUGAAAAAUUAGCGGAUGACUUGUGGCUGGGGGUGAAAGGCCAAUCAAACCGGGAGAUAGCUGGUUCUCCCCGAAAGCUAUUUAGGUAGCGCCUCGUGAACUCAUCUUCGGGGGUAGAGCACUGUUUCGGCUAGGGGGUCAUCCCGACUUACCAACCCGAUGCAAACUACGAAUACCGAAGAAUGUUAUCACGGGAGACACACGGCGGGUGCUAACGUCCGUCGUGAAGAGGGAAACAACCCAGACCGCCAGCUAAGGUCCCAAAGUCAUGGUUAAGUGGGAAACGAUGUGGGAAGGCACAGACAGCCAGGAUGUUGGCUUAGAAGCAGCCAUCAUUUAAAGAAAGCGUAAUAGCUCACUGGUCGAGUCGGCCUGCGCGGAAGAUGUAACGGGGCUAAACCAUGCACCGAAGCUGCGGCAGCGACACUAUGUGUUGUUGGGUAGGGGAGCGUUCUGUAAGCCUGCGAAGGUGUGCUGUGAGGCAUGCUGGAGGUAUCAGAAGUGCGAAUGCUGACAUAAGUAACGAUAAAGCGGGUGAAAAGCCCGCUCGCCGGAAGACCAAGGGUUCCUGUCCAACGUUAAUCGGGGCAGGGUGAGUCGACCCCUAAGGCGAGGCCGAAAGGCGUAGUCGAUGGGAAACAGGUUAAUAUUCCUGUACUUGGUGUUACUGCGAAGGGGGGACGGAGAAGGCUAUGUUAGCCGGGCGACGGUUGUCCCGGUUUAAGCAUGUAGGCUGAUUAUCCAGGCAAAUCCGGAUAAUCAAGGCUGAGGUGUGAUGACGAGGCACUACGGUGCUGAAGUAACAAAUGCCCUGCUUCCAGGAAAAGCCUCUAAGCAUCAGGUAACAUCAAAUCGUACCCCAAACCGACACAGGUGGUCAGGUAGAGAAUACCAAGGCGCUUGAGAGAACUCGGGUGAAGGAACUAGGCAAAAUGGUGCCGUAACUUCGGGAGAAGGCACGCUGGUGUGUAGGUGAAGUCCCUGCGGAUGGAGCUGAGACCAGUCGAAGAUACCAGCUGGCUGCAACUGUUUAUUAAAAACACAGCACUGUGCAAACACGAAAGUGGACGUAUACGGUGUGACGCCUGCCCGGUGCCGGAAGGUUAAUUGAUGGGGUUAUCCGUAAGGAGAAGCUCUUGAUCGAAGCCCCGGUAAACGGCGGCCGUAACUAUAACGGUCCUAAGGUAGCGAAAUUCCUUGUCGGGUAAGUUCCGACCUGCACGAAUGGCGUAAUGAUGGCCAGGCUGUCUCCACCCGAGACUCAGUGAAAUUGAACUCGCUGUGAAGAUGCAGUGUACCCGCGGCAAGACGGAAAGACCCCGUGAACCUUUACUAUAGCUUGACACUGAACAUUGAGCCUUGAUGUGUAGGAUAGGUGGGAGGCUUUGAAGCGUGGACGCCAGUCUGCGUGGAGCCAACCUUGAAAUACCACCCUUUAAUGUUUGAUGUUCUAACGUUGGCCCCUGACCGGGGUUGCGGACAGUGUCUGGUGGGUAGUUUGACUGGGGCGGUCUCCUCCCAAAGCGUAACGGAGGAGCACGAAGGUUAGCUAAUCCUGGUCGGACAUCAGGAGGUUAGUGCAAUGGCAUAAGCUAGCUUGACUGCGAGCGUGACGGCGCGAGCAGGUGCGAAAGCAGGUCAUAGUGAUCCGGUGGUUCUGAAUGGAAGGGCCAUCGCUCAACGGAUAAAAGGUACUCCGGGGAUAACAGGCUGAUACCGCCCAAGAGUUCAUAUCGACGGCGGUGUUUGGCACCUCGAUGUCGGCUCAUCACAUCCUGGGGCUGAAGUAGGUCCCAAGGGUAUGGCUGUUCGCCAUUUAAAGUGGUACGCGAGCUGGGUUUAGAACGUCGUGAGACAGUUCGGUCCCUAUCUGCCGUGGGCGCUGGAGAAUUGAGGGGGGCUGCUCCUAGUACGAGAGGACCGGAGUGGACGCAUCACUGGUGUUCGGGUUGUCAUGCCAAUGGCACUGCCCGGUAGCUAAAUGCGGAAGAGAUAAGUGCUGAAAGCAUCUAAGCACGAAACUUGCCCCGAGAUGAGUUCUCCCUGAGACUAUAAGUCUCCUGAAGGAACGUUAAAGACGAUGACGUUGAUAGGCCGGGUGUGUAAGCGCAGCGAUGCGUUGAGCUAACCGGUACUAAUGAACCGUGAGGCUUAACCUU
This 2758-nucleotide ribosomal RNA is filed under the name Klebsiella pneumoniae. RNAcentral's name for it is "bacterial LSU rRNA". It matches the Rfam family "Bacterial large subunit ribosomal RNA". The record is from RNAcentral. Lineage: Bacteria; Pseudomonadati; Pseudomonadota; Gammaproteobacteria; Enterobacterales; Enterobacteriaceae.